Molecule: ribosomal RNA, 826 nt
Filed under: uncultured organism
Description: SSU rRNA
Rfam family: Bacterial small subunit ribosomal RNA
Source: RNAcentral
GCGGUAGGGGAGACUGGAAUUCCCGGUGUAACGGUGGAAUGUGUAGAUAUCGGGAAGAACACCAAUGGCGAAGGCAGGUCUCUGGGCCGUUACUGACGCUGAGGAGCGAAAGCGUGGGGAGCGAACAGGAUUAGAUACCCUGGUAGUCCACGCCGUAAACGGUGGAUGCUGGAUGUGGGGCCCGUUCCACGGGUUCCGUGUCGGAGCUAACGCGUUAAGCAUCCCGCCUGGGGAGUACGGCCGCAAGGCUAAAACUCAAAGAAAUUGACGGGGGCCCGCACAAGCGGCGGAGCAUGCGGAUUAAUUCGAUGCAACGCGAAGAACCUUACCUGGGCUUGACAUGUUCCCGACGGUCGUAGAGAUACGGCUUCCCUUCGGGGCGGGUUCACAGGUGGUGCAUGGUCGUCGUCAGCUCGUGUCGUGAGAUGUUGGGUUAAGUCCCGCAACGAGCGCAACCCUCGCCCCGUGUUGCCAGCGGAUUAUGCCGGGAACUCACGGGGGACCGCCGGGGUUAACUCGGAGGAAGGUGGGGAUGACGUCAGAUCAUCAUGCCCCUUACGUCCAGGGCUUCACGCAUGCUACAAUGGCCGGUACAACGGGAUGCGACGCGGCGACGCGGAGCGGAUCCCUGAAAACCGGUCUCAGUUCGGAUCGCAGUCUGCAACUCGACUGCGUGAAGGCGGAGUCGCUAGUAAUCGCGAAUCAGCAACGUCGCGGUGAAUGCGUUCCCGGGCCUUGUACACACCGCCCGUCAAGUCAUGAAAGUGGGCAGCACCCGAAGCCGGUGGCCUAACCCCUUGUGGGAUGGAGCCGUCUAAGGUGAGGC